Molecule: ribosomal RNA, 506 nt
Filed under: uncultured bacterium
Lineage: Bacteria
Description: partial 16S ribosomal RNA
Rfam family: Bacterial small subunit ribosomal RNA
Source: RNAcentral
AUUGAACGCUGGCGGCAGGCCUAACACAUGCAAGUCGAGCGGCAGCGGAAAGUAGCUUGCUACUUUGCCGGCGAGCGGCGGACGGGUGAGUAAUGUCUGGGAAACUGCCUGAUGGAGGGGGAUAACUACUGGAAACGGUAGCCAAUACCGCAUAACGUCGCAAGACCAAAGAGGGGGACCUUCGGGCCUCUUGCCAUCAGAUGUGCCCAGAUGGGAUUAGCUAGUAGGUGGGGUAAUGGCUCACCUAGGCGACGAUCCCUAGCUGGUCUGAGAGGAUGACCAGCCACACUGGAACUGGGACACGGUCCAGACUCCUACGGGAGGCAGCAGUGGGGAAUAUUGCACAAUGGGCGCAAGCCUGAUGCAGCCAUGCCGCGUGUAUGAAGAAGGCCUUCGGGUUGUAAAGUACUUUCAGCGGGGAGGAAGGUGUUGAGGUUAAUAACCUCAGCAAUUGACGUUACCCGCAGAAGAAGCACCGGCUAACUCCGUGUCAGCCGCCGCCGUAA